This is an RNA transcript of Xenopus tropicalis (tropical clawed frog), 2266 nucleotides long. It is a transcript of the gene named selection and upkeep of intraepithelial T-cells protein 2, with no coding region annotated. The transcript has 8 exons. The record is from RefSeq and is a predicted model, not a curated record. NCBI's taxonomy places the organism in Eukaryota, Metazoa, Chordata, Amphibia, Anura, Pipidae.
AUAGGGCGCGCAGGAAUGUUGUUCCAGAGGGGCGGGAGCACUGGCACUGCAGCGUAGCUGACGCACAGGGGAGUUUUACUCUGGGUCUCCGGAACAGGUUUGGAAGGGACACUGUACCAGUACCGCUGGGCCCCUAUACGCACUCACAUCCGCUCAGUUAGUCAGCUUGUUAUGGAAUGCAUCAUGAUAGCCUCCUUCAUUCUCGGGUCGCUGUAUAAAGAAUGUCUUUCAGUCAGGUUUCAGGUUUCAUCAAUACCAUCAGUAUCUGUGGCACUUGGGUCAGAUGUGCUGUUACCUUGUACUCUGACCCCUGAGAAGAAUGGAGAGAAGAUGGAAAUCCGUUGGUUUAGGUUUAGGUACCAGCCCUAUGUCCAUCUUUAUAUUAAUGGGAAAGAUGAUUACACAGCCCAGAUGCCACAGUUUGCUAACAGAACAGAACUGCUAAAAGAGAACAUCACUAGGGGAAUUUUCCCUUUGAUUAUCCGUAACGUCACAGCUCAGGAUUCUGGGGAAUAUCAUUGUUAUGUGGAGUCCAGUGACCAUCACGGUAUGGCAGCAGUACAGCUACAGGUUACUGCCAUUGGAACUGUGCCGGUUAUUUCGAUUAAUAAUGACACUAUUUCUUGUGAGUCCCGUGAUUGGAAUCCAAAACCUCAUCUGACAUGGACUGAUAACGAGGGAAACGAAAUAAACUCCUCUAUGGUGGAAGUGUUCAGAAAUGAGAAUCAUUUAUAUAAUAUCCUCAGUAUUAUCCAGCAACCAAAUGCUUCAUAUAUCACUUGCACUGUCUCCAAUUCUAUAAACCACAGCAAUGAUUCCAGGCAGAUCAGAGAAUUGGAACAUUCACAAACAUCUAGGGAUAUGCGCAGUCGUGUUUAUGUAAUCGGUGCCAGCUUUAUAUUGAUUUGCUUUGGGUGCAUUUGCCUUCUAUUGAGGAGCCUUUAGCGACUCCGGGCGGCACCGGGUAACUGCAAACAGAAUGUGCGGCAGAGCAAGGAAGUGAAUGGAAUAUGUGCGGCAGGAUACACCCCUAAUGGCUGUACCUCAUCUGAUCAUGGGACUCAUGGCAAUGUUCCCUCAGCCCCAGUGAAUGGAAUAUGUGCUGCAGGAUACGUUCCCUAAUGGCUGUACCCCAUCUGAUCAUGGGACUCAUGGCAAUGUUCCCUCAGCCCCAGUGAAUGGAAUAUGUGGUGCAGGAUACACCCCUAAUGGCUGUACCCCAUCUGAUCAUGGGACUCAUGGCAAUGUUCCCUCAGCCCCAGUGAAUGGAAUACGUGCUGCAGGAUACACCCCUAAUGGCUGUACCCCAUCUGAUCAUGGGGUUCAAGGGAAAGGGAAAAAUUCUGCAGAUCACUCACAAAGUACUGUACAGGUAUAAGGGCAAAACGUUUUGCUCUGUAAAUCUUUGAACUUUUCCCCAUUGCAUCCACCUAAGAUUAAAGGGAUUUGUGUGUUACAGAGGUGGGCACAAAAUCAUAUUCCCCCUAUUUUUUAUUUUUUUUAAAAUAAAAUAUGGACCAGCUUUCAAUGGGGGUAGGGGGGGCACAGCCUAUGCACACUGAGGCAGAGGGGAUUAUCAGACCCCACCAUUGCAGCUACUUCUUGCUCUUUAGGGUCAAGGGGAACUAUCAGUUACCCCCAGGGGUUCCCCGGGACCCCACAGGUUGCAGUGGGCCAUUGCCUGAGUAAGCCCAUGAAUUUACCUUAAUCCCUGACCAGUUAAGAGAUGGGAAGUUAACCUGCUAGAAAUGUUUCCAGUGACCCAAACCUGCUUAUACCCACAGUAGGGCUUCUAAUCAGCUGCCCCUUCUUUUGUUGUGUUGUGUAAUGAACAAGAAAAAACCUUUCCAAGGGAAACAACCCCAAGGCAAAAAAUGUAUAGAAUUGUCACCACCCCCAGAGUCCUACAUAUCACUUAACCCCUCACAACAAUAGUAGGCAGUGAAGGUGGCCUUGCAUGGACUGAAUCAGCAGCAUAUUGGCCUGUGUAUGGGGGGGGGGGUCUGUUUAUGCACUGGGGUCUGUUUGGAAGGGUAGGACUUGAUGGAGUCUUUUAAACCAAAGGUAAAUAUGUUACUACUGUAUGUAUGCAACAUAGUGCCAGAGUUGCAUUAUAUAUAUAUAACAGAGUUGCAUUAUGCUGAUUAGUGCCUGGCAUUAUCCCUGUGGCACUGAGUGUAUGUAAUAAACUCUGUCCCCCAUAUAUAAUAAAAGGCACUAAGUUUGCUCAGGAGCAACCAUAGCAACCAGUAAAUGCUUCCUGCUG